UACGUAGGGCGCAAGCGUUAUCCGGAAUUAUUGGGCGUAAAGAGCUCGUAGGCGGUUUGUCGCGUCUGCCGUGAAAGUCCGGGGCUCAACCCCGAACUUGCAGUGGGUACGGGCAGACUAGAGUGUGGUAGGGGAGACUGGAAUUCCUGGUGUAGCGGUGAAAUGCGCAGAUAUCAGGAGGAGCACCGAUGGCGAAGGCAGGUCUCUGGGCCACUACUGACGCUGAGAAGCGAAAGCAUGGGGAGCGAACAGG
RNAcentral lists this ribosomal RNA (253 nucleotides) under uncultured bacterium. Its description in RNAcentral is "partial 16S ribosomal RNA". It matches the Rfam family "Bacterial small subunit ribosomal RNA", at positions 524 to 776 of the family's 1533-position model. The record is from RNAcentral.